This is a long non-coding RNA of Peromyscus eremicus (cactus mouse), 1913 nucleotides long. RefSeq lists it as uncharacterized. The transcript has 3 exons. The record is from RefSeq and is a predicted model, not a curated record. Lineage: Eukaryota; Metazoa; Chordata; Mammalia; Rodentia; Cricetidae.
AAAUAAAGGUUUUGUGUGGUGGCACACCUGUAUCCUGACACUUGUGAUGCUGAGGCAGGAGAGUCUGUGCAAGUUCAAGGCCAACAACAACAACCAAAAGUAGGAAAUAAAUCCAUGAGGCACAAGCAUUUUUUAACAAAAUCUUGAGGAAGGUAAACAACUUACAUUGAACCCAUGUAGGUCACCCACAGCAGGGUAGGAAAUGUUUAAAGAUAGGAACACAGUCAUAAAGUACUCCUGUCUGGGUUGGUUAGGAUUAAUAGUCCAGAAAGUUCACUCAUACUCAGGAGUUGCCUCUGAUGUCCUAAGUCAAGGUGUCAACACGUGUUUAGGGAGGUUGGGUGGUCUUUUGUUUGGCUGGAUCAUGCUAUCAUUUGGAUCUCCGGUGUUCCCCAGAGGCUUGUGUGUCGGAGGUUUGGUCCCUAGUUUGGAGCUGUUAGGAGAUGAUAGAACUUUCAGAAAGUGGGGCAUAGUAGAAGGAAGUUAAGUAAUUGGGGACUUGCCCUUGGAGGUGGGAUGGGGUCUCCAGUCCCUCCCUCGUUUCUCUCUACAUUUUUGCCACCGAGAGAUAAACAGGUUCCUUCAAGGACAGAAACCCCUGUAACUGAGGAAACCUUCCUUUCUAUGAUUUAACAUUUUCAGGUAUCUUGUCAGCCCCAGGAAGCUGACACAGCCCCUGUCUGUUGACUGGGAAGAAUGAACCGAUGGCAGUGAGAUCUAGAAAACCACACUCAAGAGAUCAUCACAAACAAUUCAGGAAUGCAGAGGCCGAUGAUAAUGCCUAGGACACCCGGCAAAACCGAAAGCAGCAGGCUGUGCGGAGAGUUUUCAUUUCCCCGACUCCAACCCCUGGUCUCACAGCUGCCCCAGCAACCACUUCCUGAAAUGCAAACACAAACUCGUGCACACACGACCCCAUAACAUACAGACUGAUGAUGGAGUACUCGGGAAAGCUCCACACCUUCGGUUCGCCCCCAGGGACCGGCUCUCACGGUGGAGAGACUAGCUUCAGCAACUUCUAGUCUCUCUACGGUGGUCCCUUUCUGCUUUUCUUCCAGUGACAUGAUUCUGUGUGGCUUUCCCGAGCCCGCUCGCCCAGUCCUUAGCAAGGAUCUGCGGAGUCGCUGCUUGCAGAGCGGACGGGAAGCAGGUGUCCGGCGCCAUCGGAGGGCAGGCCCGCGUGGGAGCCGCCUGUCCUCGCCGCGCAUCCCAGGUGACUCCGGCCCGACCCGCCUCCCCUGGACCAAGGCGUUUAGAAGCACCUUAGAAACUGCACCACCCGUCAGCUGGCUUCAAAACAAAGAGUCCUUUCAGCCGCUUCAGAUGCUGGCUCGUCGCCAUGGCAACCGUCCUCCGCCUGCCUCCCUCCCCUCCCCUCCGCCGGGCGCCCCGCAGCUGCGUGGGUGGAGGCGCCGCUUUGUCCCCGGGGGCCGGCUUUAUUUCCCGCCUUUGUGGUGGACCAGAGAGGAGUCACCCCCGGGAAUUCACUGUAGAAAUGCCAAGUUUCUUUUCAACCAUCCUGGUUGGGUCCAGGAGAGUCCGUCCCCCUCAGGCCCAGCAGCGCCACCUUCCGUGGAGAAGAGCGCACUGCCCGGUCCGCCGCUGCGCAAUAGGCAAUAUGCGUUCUGGCCAUUGUCACUUUUCUAGUGGCGCUCAACAUUUGAGCAGCGAGAGCUUUCUUGGCUGAAAAGACAGAAUGGUUAUGUAAACAAUUAGGGCGUGUUUUCUGUUUGUUUUCUCCCCUCCCAGAUGCUUAUUUUAAAUGAUUAUGUACGUUCAAAAUUUUUUUAUUAACUUUGAUGACGUCCUCAAUAUUUACUUUCUCUUUUCUAUGGAGGAACUUUUUUAAACAUUAAAAAUUAAAGGAGCCAGAAAUCAAUCUUUGGCUGCCAUGUGAAUUUGGGAGUUUGGGG